This 435-nucleotide ribosomal RNA is filed under the name uncultured bacterium. RNAcentral's name for it is "bacterial SSU rRNA". It matches the Rfam family "Bacterial small subunit ribosomal RNA", at positions 335 to 762 of the family's 1533-position model. The record is from RNAcentral.
ACUCCUACGGGAGGCAGCAGUGGGGAAUAUUGCACAAUGGGCGCAAGCCUGAUGCAGCCAUGCCGCGUGUAUGAAGAAGGCCUUCGGGUUGUAAAGUACUUUCAUGCAGUGAGGAAGGUGGAUAUGUUAAUAGCAUAUUCAUUUGACGUUAGCAACAGAAGAAGCACCGGCUAACUCCGUGCCAGCAGCCGCGGUAAUACGGAGGGUGCGAGCGUUAAUCGGAAUUACUGGGCGUAAAGCGCAUGCAGGUGGUUUGUUAAGUCUGAUGUGAAAGCCCCCGGCUUAACCGGGGAGGGUCAUUGGAAACUGGAAGACUGGAUGCAGAAGAGGAGAGUGGAAUUCCACGUGUAGCGGUGAAAUGCGUAGAUAUGUGGAGGAGCACCNGUGGCGAAGGCGACUCUCUGGUCUGUAACUGACGCUGAGGCGCGAAAGCGU